RNAcentral lists this unclassified non-coding RNA (224 nucleotides) under Clavaria californica. Its description in RNAcentral is "partial internal transcribed spacer region". The stretch from base 1 to 46 matches the Rfam family "Eukaryotic small subunit ribosomal RNA", at positions 1786 to 1831 of the family's 1831-position model. The record is from RNAcentral. Lineage: Eukaryota; Fungi; Basidiomycota; Agaricomycetes; Agaricales; Clavariaceae.
AAGUCGUAACAAGGUUUCCGUAGGUGAACCUGCGGAAGGAUCAUUACUGAUUUUUAAAGAUGUGCUGGCCUUUAUUGGCAUGUGCACUCUUAAAAACCCAUUAUCCACCUGUGCACAUUUUGUAGGCACUUGUUUGCCUAUGCUUUUUACACUCCAUUAAUUUAACUGAAUGUCAUUACACAUUAAUUUUAAAACAACUUUCAACAAUGGAUCUCUUGGUUCUC